This 705-nucleotide ribosomal RNA is filed under the name uncultured bacterium. Its description in RNAcentral is "bacterial SSU rRNA". It matches the Rfam family "Bacterial small subunit ribosomal RNA", at positions 51 to 757 of the family's 1533-position model. The record is from RNAcentral.
ACACAUGCAGUCGAGGGGUAUUUAUCUUCGGAUAGAGAGACCGGCGCACGGGUGCGUAACGCGUAUGCAAUCUACCUUUUACAGAGGGAUAGCCCAGAGAAAUUUGGAUUAAUACCUCAUAGUAUUACGACCUGGCAUCAGGAUGUAAUUAAAGUCACAACGGUAAAAGAUGAGCAUGCGUCCCAUUAGCUAGUUGGUAAGGUAACGGCUUACCAAGGCUACGAUGGGUAGGGGUCCUGAGAGGGAGAUCCCCCACACUGGUACUGAGACACGGACCAGACUCCUACGGGAGGCAGCAGUGAGGAAUAUUGGACAAUGGGCGCAAGCCUGAUCCAGCCAUGCCGCGUGCAGGAUGACGGUCCUAUGGAUUGUAAACUGCUUUUAUACAGGAAGAAACACCUCUACGUGUAGAGACUUGACGGUACUGUAAGAAUAAGGAUCGGCUAACUCCGUGCCAGCAGCCGCGGUAAUACGGAGGAUCCAAGCGUUAUCCGGAAUCAUUGGGUUUAAAGGGUCCGUAGGCGGUUUAGUAAGUCAGUGGUGAAAGCCCAUCGCUCAACGGUGGAACGGCCAUUGGUACUGCUAGACUUGAAUUAUUAGGAAGUAACUAGAAUAUGUAGUGUAGCGGUGAAAUGCUUAGAGAUUACAUGGAAUACCAAUUGCGAAAGGCAGGUUACUACUAAUUGAUUGACGCUGAUGGACGAA